AGCUGGCAGGCAGUACCAGGGUGAGGGAAGUUCUCCAAAGCAAUCAAAGCAGAGAGAGCCAGAGGGCUGAUAUAAACCACAUCCAAGAGAGAGCAACUGCCAAGACCAAAAUAAGAAAAGUCAGACUAGAUGUCAAAUUGAAUGGGGGCACAAGGUAGCAUGGAGGAGAGAAGCCCAAAUGUCCAGGAGUCAAUGAAAUGUAGAAGUGAAAUCAAGGUCAAAAGCAAAUGUACUCUAUCGUCUUCCACACUGGGACCCCAGACACUCAUGGAGGAGGAAAUUCUUGACCAAAAAUAUGUGUUACAGAACCUGAGAGAGAAGAAAAGUUUCAGGAAGACGAUGACAGUCAAUAAGAUGAAAUGAUGAAGUAAAUGUAAACAUGAUACAGACUGAGGCCAUUGGCUCUGAAUAUCGAGACAUCACUGGAAUGUUUUGAGAAAUUAACUUUGAUUGCGAAGAGAUUAAGAAUUAGAAUGCAGUAGGAAAAUGAAUUAACAUCUGAUAAGAAAAGAAACCAAAGAGUAAAGACCUGUAGUUCUGCAACACAGGUGCUCAUCAGAAAAAUGUGGGUAACUUUUUCAAUAAUAAACCCCUGGACCCACCCCCUGGAAAAUCUGCUUAAGUAUAUCUGGGGCAGAAAUGGGAAAUUUACGUUUUUCUUCAACAUUUCAGAUGGUUCUGUUGGCUCUUUAAAAAUUAUGGCCUACGGGUAACAGGAUGAAGAAAUAAUUAUUUGCCAACUACGGUAUAGACAGUAUAGAAUGUUUUCAACAGAGGGAAAGGAGCAGUGAGUAAUGAGGAAGAAAAUAAGAAAGAAAUAGGUGGGAAGUGGUGGUCGAGAGCCGAAGUUCUCAGGCAGGGGUCCCCAACCCCUGCUGUCCUGUGUUGUCUGGUACCAGUCCCUGGUCUGUUAGGAACCAAGCCGCACAGCAGGAAGUGAGCUGCGGGCUAGUGAGCAUUACUGCCUGAGCUCUGCCUCCUGUCAGAUCAGCAGCGGCAUCAGAUUCUCACAGGAGCAUGAACCCUAUUGUGAACUGUGCAUGCAGUUCCUUAUGAGAAUUCCGUGGUCCUUAUGAGAAUCUAACUAAUGCCUGAUGAUCUGAGGUGGAACAGUUUCAUCCUGAGAUCAUCCUCCCUCCCCUGUCUGUUGAAAAACUGUCUUCCACGAAACCAGCCCGUGGUGCCAAAAGGGUUGGGGACUGCUAUUUUAGAAGACAUGAAAGCGUGCUAUCUAAAGUAUAGGUGGAAGAAAUAGCAUUUGGAAAGGAUAGUGGAGAUGUCUUCCUUUGAAAACAUGUAAUAAGGACCUUGAGGAUAAAGGUUCCACCAUGUUUUGAGGCAAAAAUCUGGUAGAUGGCUUGGAUCUCAUAAGCAGAUUAAGUGAUGAUCUACCAAGGAAAAUAGUGGUUCAGCUGGAGUCUGGAGGAAUGUGGCGUGGUUCCUCAGAAUGCCCCACUGGAGCCACUCCAGCCAGUAUGAGAUGAAUGAUUGUGCAUUAGAUGGGCUUUAAAUGUUGAAUGUAGAUUUUAAAAGAGUAAAACAGAAAAGAUUCACAGGUGACUCAAAGUCUAAUAAUAGCCCUAACUUAUAGUUUAACACAUCUUUAUAAACGACUUCUUGUAGGCUCUUCUUGUUUUGCUCUUCUAUGUAUCCUUCCACCAACAUUUGCACUGAAGGUUUCCUCUGCCUGAAGCAUUCUGCUCCCACCCCCGACUUUAGUUAGGUUCUUGCCAAAUCACCUUGUCACAGAAAUCUUCCUUGACCACCUAUAUUAAAUAGGACUAACUCUUCUAUCUUUCUUAGUCUGCUUUUUGUAUACAGGCUUAUACCCGAUAUAUUAUACAUUUAUUUUUUAUUGCGUUUCCCCAUCCUAACUAAAAUGUAAGCUGCAAGGAAGCCAAAGCUGAUUUGUUUUGUUCUUUGCAAAAACCUCAAUGCAUGUAGGAGCACCCAGCACAUAGUAGAUGCUCAAAGUAUAUUUGUUAGAUAAAUUUAAAAAUAGUUGCUACUACUGCCAGAGCCUAGCCCAGACACUUCUGCGUAAUUAGCCCUCAGCAAAAGUUGAUCAAUGUUUUGAUGAAUUAAAUGAAUGAUUGUGGCAGCCAGCUGUCAAGAUGACCUCCAGUGUAAACCCUUGUGUAGCCCCCUCCAACAAUAAAUAGGGCUGAUUUGAGCAACCAAUAGAAUAUUGUGGAAAUGAUGACAUGUGACUUUUGAGACAAGGACAUAAAAGACACUGGGGCUUCCACCUCAGUUUCUUCAUCAUUUGAUCUAACCUCUGGGAGAAGUGAGUUGCCGUAUAUUGAAGAUUCUCAGUCUUAGGGAAAGGUCUGUAGAGUGAGGACCAUAAAUCUGUCAACAGCCAGCACCAGCAUGCCAGCCCUGUGAGUGAACCAAUUUAGAAGUGGAUUAUCGAGCUCUAGUCAAACCCCUAGAUAACCACAGCCCUGGCCAACAUCUUGACUGCAAGAUCUAGUUAUUCCCUGAGACGGAAUAACUAGCUAUGCAGUUCCCAAAGUUCUAAGCCACAUAACUGUAUGAGAUAACAUUUAUCAUUGCUUAAGCCAGUAAGUUUUGGGAUAGUUUGCUAUAUAGCAAUGGACAAUUAAUAACAGUAGCUUAGAGCCAGUUUUCAAAAUUUUGUCCCUUCUGUUUGAUGUCAGGGACAGAUCUAUCGUUUAUGAAAUGUAUAGUUUUCCCUAAAACCAAAUAAAACCAGCAGGCUGAUUUUGGGAACAACGAUUUCAAUAGAUCUUGAAGUGUUUUCUAUGCCUUAUCACUGACAAGAUUGCUGGCCACAUGAAAACCUAGCAUGCAUUUAUAACAUGAAUUCUUCACACAGUGAUCAUUUAAAGAUCCUUAAUAUCCAGAUUCUAUUAAUAAUCCAACCCACAAUCCUAGGAGUCUUAAUCAAAGGAUUACCAAAGUUCCAUUACUUCCUGCAUUUAGCUUACUUAUUUAUUUAUUUGAUCAUUUUCUUUGCCAAAGGGAAAGAGAAAAACAAUAACAAACAAACACCUUGUUUUACAAUUUACUCUUCCUUUUAUGGAUGACUAUGCUCAUUUUCUCCACAGAUAAGAAUAUGUGUGUUUCUUUGUGUGUGAAAAGAAGCCGCCUUGAAGGAUCUAUUUAAAAUUUGACUCAGUGAUUAGUUACUGUUAGGCAAUGUGGGCAGACCUCUAAGUGAAGUCCUGGCAAGUGUGACUCUGGAAAGCUAAGGAAAUGGAGAAUAUAGUUAAAAUUCUGACACUUGGAACCUCAUCUGAGAGUCAUAUGUUUUUGUCAUGAGGUGGGAGGAAUUACUGGGUGAGUGACACGUGGAAGGGAUAAGCAGGAGGCAUGAAUUCUUAAGGGCACUUGUGAAUAAUAUUAUUAUGUCUGAAAGAACCACAAGGGAGCUGAAAAUUAUAGAAUCACAAAUUUAUAAAUAAUGAGAUUAAAGGGAACUUCUUGGAUUAUAACUCAAUUUUCUGUUUCUUCAGAGGAAAGAGUCACAUGAUGAUCGACUGUUUUGAGCAAUUAGAAAAGGAAUAUCCUGCCUUUCCUUUCUAGGGCCACCUACUUCCUAGUCACAAGAAACUGAAAACAAGUAAAAAAAAGAAAAAUACUAUACUGUUUUACACUGAUUUGAGCAAAGGCAGAGAUGAGACAGUGUGAAGUGAUGCAAAGAUGAGGAGAGGAAGUACAGCAAUGUGACUGCAUUUCAGCUGCUGUGUGCCUGGGAGAGGCAGAUGACACAGCAGGCACAGGGCAGUGCAAGAAAGCUAGAGAGGGGAAGAAGGGCCAGUUGAGGCUGAUUCUGGAUGAGUGGCCAAGGAGUUGCCUUUUCUUUCUAUGUGCAAUUGAGUCAUUAGAAAUUUCAAAGCAAUUUUUAAACUGUAAUUGCUAAACUGACUUCAAUUGACACAGAUAACAUCUGUUUGCUAAAGUGUUAAAAUAGAGACUGUACUGAGGGUUGAACCUACCAGUUCCCUUAGGCUCACUCUUCAAAUUUUGUUUUGUAGAUAAGCUAAGAUUUAUAUAUCUAGCCCAGAGGGGGUCAGAGCUUUUCCUUUGAUAAAAGAAAGUUGGAAAUAGAGUCACAUGUUUCUCAAAGGGGGUUUUCUGAUUUUAAACACAGUACAAUCCCAAGUGGCCAGUCACAGAAAAUAGUAUCUAGUCUACCUGAAUUACAGAUCAGGUGAAAAGCAGGUGAGAAAAAGUCCCUGUUCUGUUAAAAAAAAAAAAAAAGCCAACUUGGCCUUUGCAUCUUGCAGCACCAAUGUAUGUAGACCAUGGCCAUAAUGAAGACGGAGAGCUGGACAAUUGCUUUAAGAUGCCAGGGUUACCCAUCAGGGUGGAUAAGCAAAGACAAGGUCUUCUUUUGUAAAAGAAGAGGAGAAGAUUGAGGAGGGGAGAGGAAGGGAGGAAGGAAAAGGAAAGAAGGAAGGAAAAUUAGUAAACCAGAGUGAAGUCAACCUAGCAAUUACAGUUUAAAAUUAUUUCCAACCUUGUUUCCAGUACUUCUUCAAGUUUGCAUAGUUCCAUUGCAUAGUAGCCUGACCUUGGGCUGGUCAUCACAGUUUAUAAAGUAGAAGACUCUGUCAACUGAAAAACACACUGUUAUUUUAUGUGACACUAUGAAAGAACAACAAAAAAAUGCUGCCAAUUAAACUAUGACACUGUAUUGAUGGUAAAGUACAUCUCUAUAUCAGAGAUGUCAAAAUGUAGAAAAAAUAUGAAUCUUAAAAUUAGUAAAAGCCUCAGUUUCCUUUUCUGUAAAAUAGAGAUGACAAUAGUACUGCAUAAAAUUCUUUGCCCCCGCCCCCAGAUCAAUUUCCAACCUCUCCACCUGGUUCUGUGCCCUUGGAUGCUGACCUCUAAUGCAGUAUUUCCGCUGGAUUCCUGGUUGGGCUUAGUUGAUGGGGCUGUGACCAUAAAUUAAUGGAUAUGAGGUGAAAGAGUUUGAGGGUUUGUAUUUCCCUUCAUUGCUGUGGGGAUGAGUGAGAUAGUAGCUGUGAUCCUCUCCACAAGGCCACACUUCAACUUGGUGGCUUCUCUCCUAUGGCUUGGGUUUGCUUCAGGUUUCAUUUCAUUCAUCAUUCAGGUCUGCCCCUUCAGACCUAGGGUUGGGGAAGAGGUGGGCAGUGGAUCGGCUUCCCGUGUUGCUGAUUCCUGGAUGCUUCACCAUCUCUUCUUGGUGAGGUUAACUUUCCCCAUAACUUUGUAACUAGGUUUUCAUUAAGUUUUGUUUCUUGCUGGAAGCUUGACUGAUACAAGCACCAACUUCACAUGAUUGCUGUGAAUAUUAAAUGAAGUAAUGAAUGCAAGGAACUUAGCUUAGUAUGCAGCAUGGGGGAAGCACUCUAGAUAAUCAGGUUUUCUGUUUUUCAAACACGUUAAACUCACUCCUCUCUUUGGGCAGUUGUACUAGCUGUUCGCUCCUUCAAUAUUCUUGUCUCAGGUCUUCGUAGGGCCGGUGCUUUCUUGUCAUUUAGAUUUCAGCUCACAUGUCAUUACUCAGAGGACACUAUCCUAUCCACCUUAUCUGUUAAUCUAAAUUAAUUCCCCAGGCAUCCCCUAUCUCAUUGCCUCUCAUUUCCUUAAUAGACAUUUUUUCUUCAUGAUAUUUCUUGGUUACAUAUUUGCUUAUACCCUAGCUCUCUUGAAUAGAAUUUAAGUGUGAUACAUUGCUUUUUUGUUCCUUUGCCCCUGAUGAAUCCUGUGUCCAGAAUGUAGCUAGCAUGUAGUAGGGUUGCAGGACAAGUUACCUGGGAGCAUAUAUUCUGAGGUAGAAUGAGUGCAAAAGCCUUAUUGGGAAGUAACACCUAAAUUUGUGAAAGAAGGGAGGAAGCAUUAUGGAUAGGGAGGGCCAUCAGACCCUUUUCUGACAUCAUAAGAUUUUAGCAGCCUAGCAAGGAACUCUUGUUCGAAGGUUUCUCAUUAGAGGAGUCCCACAUUGCCAAUACAUUGUCUCGCUACUUUAUUCAGUCAUAGGCUGAAGGUCGUCCCCAGAAAAGCAUGACCUCAGCUGUCAUCACCUUGCUCACUCAUUGUCUGGGGCACUCCAAAAAUAGCAUGACUUUAGCUACAAAGCUGAGGAAGACCCUGAUAAAGUUGACAUCUAAAGACAGCGAGCUAAACAGGCUCUUUGCAGCUGGGUUCUGAGUUCUUUCUCAAUGGGGAGGCCUAAAUAACACAUCUCUGUGUCUGCCAAUAAAUAUUUUUUGUGGAAUGGAACGCUCAAUAUGUUUGUUUUAAAAUUUUUUGUCUUAACUUUAUCAUCAUACCUAAAUGAAUCAAAUCAAGAACAGAAGGAUGUGCAAGCCUCUAAUCUAACUGUUCAGCUAGAUAACAGCUAAGUUAAUACACAUACCACAAGGAAAGAACAUACUUGGCACUUUUGAAAUACUAAAAUAUAGCCAGUGGGGCUGGAGAAUAAGAAACUAAGGGGAGAAUAGAAAGAGAUGUCAGAGAAGUAGACACUGUGAGAUUUUAAAUAAGGAUAUUACAUAAUCUGAUUCACAUUUUAAGAAAAUCACUUGGACUGCUUUAUGGAGAAUAGGUAAUAGACGGACAAGAGCAAAAGUAGGGAGACCAGACCAGUUAGCAAGCUAAGGUGAACAUCCAGGCAAGAGCUAAGAAUGGCUAGGACUAUGGUAUUAUGGCAGAGAUGGAGAAGCAGACAAAGUUGGGAUAUAUUUUGGAGGUAGAGUUUUAGGACUUCUAAGAUAUUAGAGCUGAGAGAGGAGGGGAGGAGACUCAAGGACAAUGUCUUGAUGUUUGGUAGGUGGUUGUGUCAUUUUCUAGGAUAAGGAAGAGUAAUUAAGGAACAACUUUGGAAAGGAAAGAUCUGCUUUGGACUUGUAACUUUUGAAAUGUCAUAAUUAGGCAUCCAAGUGAAUAUGUGAAAUAAGCAAUUGGCUCUAUGAAUCUAUAGCUCAAUGGAGAUAUCAAGAGCUGGAGAUAAAAUCAUAUGCAAUUGGCAUGAAGAUGGUAGUUAAAGCCAAGGGACUUUCCUGGAAUUCAUGCAUCUAAAUGAAUGAAUGGGAUUUCCUUCAGGGUGCUGACUCUCCUGGGGAAGCUUCAUGAUAUAUACAUUUUUCUAAUGAUGUUGAUCCAUUGGCAUAAUUUUAUUGGGCCUCAGAUUCUAAGUAAAAAAAGAAAAGAAGAAGUUAGUGUUCUGUGAGAUUAACAAGUUUUAAAACAAACAAAAGAAGUAGAUUGUGAUUGAAUAUCUCUUAUUGCAAACUGCGCAGACCACCAAGCUCAGUAAAAGCAUUGAGUAAGUGGAAAAACAAUGUUGUAUGAAAGGACAUGAAUGAAAACUAUCUGGGAAACAACCCAUAUUUUGGUGUCAGGAAAGCCUGAGUUCAAGUCAUGACUCAACCACUCACUGACCACAAACAAACUGUAAUUUUCAUAAAUUUUUCACUUAUUUUCCUUUAGGAGAUAAUAGAGAUUAUAACAUCAAUCUUUUGGAGUUUUUU
This 7469-nucleotide long non-coding RNA is filed under the name Homo sapiens (human). RNAcentral describes it as "HSALNT0191295". Lineage: Eukaryota; Metazoa; Chordata; Mammalia; Primates; Hominidae. The record is from RNAcentral.